UCUAAUAUGGCAGAAUAAUUGCAUUGAAUUUAAGCCUCAACUAUAAAGAAUACCCAACUAAUUCUUUUUUUAGAA
RNAcentral lists this transfer RNA (75 nucleotides) under Stenopsyche tienmushanensis. RNAcentral's name for it is "tRNA-Leu". Lineage: Eukaryota; Metazoa; Arthropoda; Insecta; Trichoptera; Stenopsychidae. The record is from RNAcentral.